AUAGGGAAGCUAAUCAUCUUGC
Molecule: non-coding RNA, 22 nt
Filed under: Arabidopsis thaliana (thale cress)
Lineage: Eukaryota; Viridiplantae; Streptophyta; Magnoliopsida; Brassicales; Brassicaceae
Source: RNAcentral